This 416-nucleotide ribosomal RNA is filed under the name Companilactobacillus futsaii. Its description in RNAcentral is "bacterial SSU rRNA". It matches the Rfam family "Bacterial small subunit ribosomal RNA", at positions 682 to 1094 of the family's 1533-position model. The record is from RNAcentral. Lineage: Bacteria; Bacillati; Bacillota; Bacilli; Lactobacillales; Lactobacillaceae.
UGGAAUGCGUAGGUAUAUGGUAGAACACCAGUGGCGAAGGCGGCUUUCUGGUCGGUAACUGACGCUGAGAUUCGAAAGCAUGGGUAGCAAACAGGAUUAGAUACCUUGGUAGUCCACGCCGUAAACGAUGAGUGUUAAGUGUUGGAGGGUCUCCGCCGUUUCAGCGCUGCAGGUAACGCAUUAAGCACUCCGCCUGGGGAGUACGACCGCAAGGUUGAAACUCAAAGGAAUUGUCGGGGGCCCGCACAAGUCGGUGGAGCAUGUGGUCUAAUUCGAAGCAACGCGAAGAACCUUACCAGGUCUUGACAUACCAUGAAAAGGUUAGAGAUAAGUCUUUCCCCUCGGGGACAUGGAUACAGGUGGUGCAUGGUUGUCGUCAGCUCGUGUCGUGAGAUGUUGGGCUAAGUCCCGCAACG